AUUUAAUUUAAUUAGAUUUAAUUUAAUUUAAUGUUAAUUGGGUUCAAUUAUCCAAAUCAGAUUUGGAUUUCAAGCCUGAUUGGAUCAGGCUUGAUAGUAUUUUCGAAUUCCACUUGUUUCAGACUCGAUUUGAACCCGAUUGAGGCUCUAUUUGAACCAGAUAAACUAUGACUCAGAGAGCCCAAGUUCUCUAAAACUUUUUCUUCAGAAAUCAUGCCAAAAAGAGAAGUGGGGUGUUGUUUUUCUCAUCCUUCUUUCUUCAUGGGCAUGAAAGGAGAAGGGGCACCAAUAGUUGGUGCCCCGCCUUAUCUGGAAUUUUUUUUCAUCCAAAUUUUUUUUAUUUAAAUUUAAUUCAAAAUAAGAUAAAAAUCUUUCAAAUUAGGGCAUAAAAGUAUUUUCUUAUAUGAUAAAAAAAUUAG
RNAcentral lists this long non-coding RNA (419 nucleotides) under Elaeis guineensis (African oil palm). Its description in RNAcentral is "long non-coding RNA (EGUI_LNC072284)". Lineage: Eukaryota; Viridiplantae; Streptophyta; Magnoliopsida; Arecales; Arecaceae. The record is from RNAcentral.